CUGCGAGUCUGCGACUUCCCGCUGAAAGAAAUACGGAGGAAGGAACGAGUUAUCAUUAUCUUUCGUGGAAAAUGUUUAAGAACACGUUCCAGUCUGGGUUUCUAUCCAUUUUAUACAGCCUUGGGAGCAAGCCUUUGCAAAUAUGGGAUAAAGAAGUUGUCAAUGGCCAUAUCAAAAGGCCACAAGAUGAAGACAUCCAGUCCAGUGUCCUUGAGAUCGUUGGAUCAAAUAUCCAAUCAACAUACAUUACAUGCCCAGCAGAUCCUUCGGCCACGCUUGGUAUAAAGCUUCCUUUCUUGGUUAUGAUCGUAAAGAAUCUAAAGAAAUACUUCACGUUUGAGAUCCAAGUACUGGACGAUAAGAAUGUGAGGCGACGUUUCAGGGCUUCUAAUUUUCAAGCUGUGACACGGGUGAAGCCUUAUAUCUGCACAAUGCCCUUGAGGUUGGAUGAGGGGUGGAAUCAGAUCCAGUUGAAUCUUGCUGAUUUUACACGGAGGGCGUAUGGCACAAACUAUGUUGAAACUCUGCGGGUCCAGGUCCAUGCAAACUGUCGCCUGAGGAGGAUAUACUUCUCUGAUCGCCUUUAUUCGGAGGAAGAGCUCCCACCGGAAUUCAAACUGUACCUUCCAAUGCAAAAGCCAUAGAACCUCAGUAAGAGCUGCAGAAUCAUGAAAUCUCUGGAGGAGCUGGUCUUGGAGAUCUGAACAAACUUGGGGCUUACUAUUUUCCCUAGUUGCCUAGAUUUCAUGUAUGCCAGAUGUUCUUCCCUUUAAACAGGAGACAAUAGCAAACACACUCUAGUGCUACAUUAUGUUUGAUCAGUUGUAUCUUUACAAACAAUGUCGGUGUAUUUUUUGAUUUGAUAAGUAGCUGAAAUGGAGGCCGACAUUCCAAAAGGAUGUGGGGAUACAA
RNA transcript from Telopea speciosissima, 912 nucleotides. It is a transcript of the gene named cilia- and flagella-associated protein 20, with no coding region annotated. Lineage: Eukaryota; Viridiplantae; Streptophyta; Magnoliopsida; Proteales; Proteaceae. The record is from RefSeq and is a predicted model, not a curated record. The transcript is spliced from 7 exons.